Molecule: ribosomal RNA, 513 nt
Filed under: uncultured bacterium
Lineage: Bacteria
Description: partial 16S ribosomal RNA
Rfam family: Bacterial small subunit ribosomal RNA
Source: RNAcentral
GACGAACGCUGGCGGCGUGCUUAACACAUGCAAGUCGAACGAAAAGAGGGAAAGAGCUUGCUCUUUCCGGAAUUGAGUGGCAAACGGGUGAGUAACACGUAAACAACCUGCCUUCAGGAUGGGGACAACAGACGGAAACGACUGCUAAUACCGAAUAAGUUCCAAGGGCCGCAUGGCCCAUGGAAGAAAAGGUGGCCUCUACCUGUAAGCUAUCGCCUGAAGAGGGGUUUGCGUCUGAUUAGCUGGUUGGAGGGGUAACGGCCCACCAAGGCGACGAUCAGUAGCCGGUCUGAGAGGAUGAACGGCCACACUGGAAUUGAGACACGGUCCAGACUCCUACGGGAGGCAGCAGUGGGGAAUCUUCCGCAAUGGGCGAAAGCCUGACGGAGCAACGCCGCGUGAGUGAUGACGGCCUUCGGGUUGUAAAACUCUGUGAUCCGGGACGAAAAGGCAGAGUGCGAAGAACAAACUGCAUUGACGGUACCGGAAAGGCAAGCCACGGCUAACUACGUG